Molecule: long non-coding RNA, 416 nt
Filed under: Panax ginseng (ginseng)
Lineage: Eukaryota; Viridiplantae; Streptophyta; Magnoliopsida; Apiales; Araliaceae
Description: long non-coding RNA (PGIN_LNC019076)
Source: RNAcentral
AGUAAACUUUUAUAAACUCUUUAAAUGUCUUGAUUGGAUACAAUCAAUCUUUUAAAGUCUUUAAAAAUUUUAAUUGAAUACACCCCUUUAAAACGACUUAUAUUAAAAAACAGGAGAGUAAAAAUAAAUUAAUUGUUUAAUUUCUGAAUUUUAGAAAAAGAUAUUGUACAUCUCAACAUAAUCCACAGUUGGAACCAUCCAACUUAAUGCUGAUUGGAACCAUCGGCGAAUCAGUGAUGGGUGAGGGAGAAGUCUGGACCCUUGUCAAGACCUCCGUCAUAUUUGAUGCCAGAUUAUCAAGGAUGGCUUCGGUGGAGUCGGUCAUGGAUGUCGAGCAAAAUCUGGACCAGCUUGAUCAAGAAACAGAGAACCUAAGAUGAUGCUUUGAUACCAUGUCAAAAUGUAAUGUUUCUAUA